This 1010-nucleotide long non-coding RNA is filed under the name Castor canadensis (American beaver). RNAcentral describes it as "lncRNA (ENSCCNG00000017694.1)". Lineage: Eukaryota; Metazoa; Chordata; Mammalia; Rodentia; Castoridae. The record is from RNAcentral.
ACAAUGCUCUAAAUUAGCAUCAUAAUCAUAACCAUCAAGUUAAGCUUAAUUUUUGCUUGCUAUUUCAUUUUUCAUUUGUAGACUCAAAUCAUCUUAUCUACCUUCUAUUAAAGAACCAGAAAAGAAAAGGAAAGAUCUAUUUUCAGUAGUCCCAGAUCAACCAAAUCAUGAAAAAGAAUUAAACAAGGAAAUACAGUGAUGUCAAAGACAGAUCCUGUCCGAUAAAGAACUGACUGUCAGAGACUAAUAUGGAAAAACUACAGAACAAUGCUGUUGUUUCAUGAGAUAAGGAAUCAGCUCUGUCAGGAGGAAGAGCAACGCAACUCUGAACAGGAGCAGAUGAGGAGUGAGAUCUCUGACCUAACACAGGCACUUCAUCAGAAGGAGAUCACCAUAGCAACCAUCAUGAAGAAAGCUGCCCUCCUGGAAAGACAGUUAAAGAUGGAAUUAGAAAUAAAAGAAUAAAUGUUAGCAAAGCAACAGGUCUCAGAUAUGAGAUAUAAAGCUGUCAGAACAGAAAACACGCAUCUAAAAGGAAUGAUGGGAGAUUUAGACCCUGGACGGUACAUGGUUAUCACAGCCUCCACUGAGCCUACUUCACUGAUUCCUACAGACUUUGACUUUGCUCAUUUAUUAUUUAAAGCGACAUUUUUGUUUAAGAUAGCUAUUCAAGGGAGUUCAUUAUGAAAUUUACAUGUAUAUGUGUAUUAUAAUCAAACUGGUUCAUCCCCUCCAUUUUUCUUUUCACCUUAGUCCCCUUAUAGUUAUUUCAAAAGGAUUAAAAAUCCAUUUUCAUUCUUGUAUAGAAAGUACAUCAACCAUUUCACCUUCUUUACCUCCUUCUUUUAUUCUCCCUCUCCCAUUACCGACCUCCCAUUAGCAUGACCUGUUUUUCAUUCUUGUCCUUCAUUGUUCAGUGGGACUUUUGCCUUGGUAUUUUAUACCACACCUGGCUUGUUCUUUUCUUCUUUUCACCCUCCCUUAUUCUCUUCUAACAGUCCCACUUUUGG